GAUGAACGCUGGCGGCGUGCCUAAUACAUGCAAGUCGAGCGAACAGACGAGGAGCUUGCUCCUCUGACGUUAGCGGCGGACGGGUGAGUAACACGUGGAUAACCUACCUAUAAGACUGGGAUAACUUCGGGAAACCGGAGCUAAUACCGGAUAAUAUAUUGAACCGCAUGGUUCAAUAGUGAAAGACGGUUUUGCUGUCACUUAUAGAUGGAUCCGCGCCGCAUUAGCUAGUUGGUAAGGUAACGGCUUACCAAGGCAACGAUGCGUAGCCGACCUGAGAGGGUGAUCGGCCACACUGGAACUGAGACACGGUCCAGACUCCUACGGGAGGCAGCAGUAGGGAAGUUUCCGCAAUGGGCGAAAGCCUGACGGAGCAACGCCGCGUGAGUGAUGAAGGUCUUCGGAUCGUAAAACUCUGUUAUUAGGGAAGAAAAAAUGUGUAAGUAACUAUGCACGCCUUGACGGUACCUAAUCAGAAAGCCCCGGCUAACUACGUG
Molecule: ribosomal RNA, 497 nt
Filed under: uncultured bacterium
Lineage: Bacteria
Description: partial 16S ribosomal RNA
Rfam family: Bacterial small subunit ribosomal RNA
Source: RNAcentral